AAUAGUGGUCUUAAUCAGAAAUAUCAAAAUACACCUUUUGACUUCAUAGAUGCUACUUGAACCUGAGAGGCAUCCCUUGAGGCCAAUUUAUAGAUAAGAUAAAGCCCUAGAUAGACACAAAACGGUGGAGUAACUCAGCUGGAAAAGCAGCAUCUCUGGAGAGAUGGAAUGGGUGACGUUUCGCGUAGAGUCCCUUCCUCAGACAAUUGGCAGGAAUCAAGG
Amblyraja radiata (thorny skate) is the source of this 222-nucleotide long non-coding RNA. RefSeq lists it as uncharacterized. The transcript is spliced from 3 exons. The record is from RefSeq and is a predicted model, not a curated record. Lineage: Eukaryota; Metazoa; Chordata; Chondrichthyes; Rajiformes; Rajidae.